GACGAACGCUGGCGGCGUGCUUAACACAUGCAAGUCGAACGGAAAGGCCCUGCUCUUGUGGGGUGCUCGAGUGGCGAACGGGUGAGUAACACGUGAGUAACCUGCCCUUGACUUUGGGAUAACUUCAGGAAACUGGGGCUAAUACCGGAUAGGAGCUCCUGCUGCAUGGUGGUGGUUGGAAAGUUUCGGCGGUUGGGGAUGGACUCGCGGCUUAUCAGCUUGUUGGUGUGGUAGUGGCUUACCAAGGCUUUGACGGGUAGCCGGCCUGAGAGGGGGACCGGCCACAAUGGUACUGCGAGACGGACCAGACGCCUACGGGAGGCAGCAGUGGGGAGUAUUGCGCAAUGGGCGGAAGCCAGAGGCAGCAACGCCGCGUGCGGGAUGACGUCCUUCGGGUUGUAAACCGCUUUCGCCUGUGACGAAGCGUGAGUGACGGUAAUGGGUAAAGAAGCACCGGCUAACUACGUG
Molecule: ribosomal RNA, 468 nt
Filed under: uncultured bacterium
Lineage: Bacteria
Description: partial 16S ribosomal RNA
Rfam family: Bacterial small subunit ribosomal RNA
Source: RNAcentral